This is a long non-coding RNA of Musa acuminata AAA Group (dessert banana), 3960 nucleotides long. RefSeq lists it as uncharacterized. NCBI's taxonomy places the organism in Eukaryota, Viridiplantae, Streptophyta, Magnoliopsida, Zingiberales, Musaceae. The transcript is spliced from 2 exons. The record is from RefSeq and is a predicted model, not a curated record.
UCUAAAAAUUUGCUAUAAUCACAAAGCGUCGACGUUGCCGCGCGAGGCGAACGGAACGACUCCGGCCUUCUCUUGGCUCCCCUGCCGGAUCCCUCCGCUCUAAGUCCACCACCAACGUCGCACCCGCAUCCGAUGCCGCGUUCAGCUACCCCUCGAAGGAUAAUCGCGAGUUUGGGGGGCUCAUCUUCGCUCCUCCGCCGCCGUCAUCAUCAGCCCAUACGACGAGAACCGCGGGUGUGGAAACCGUCCUCUCCGCUGGGUGGCCGCUACCGCUGUUUCCGGUCCACCUCCAAUAUCCGUCCCGCCAACGCGCCUUCAAGGAGAACCGCGAGGACUACCCCACCCCUUUGAGGAAUCCGGAAAUCCCCGCGCAAACGCCUCCGCGGUCAUCCACCGCCCCACCGGCCACGGGGAGAGGAUCGAAAGAUGGCGGGACAUCGGCGUGGGCGCGAUCCCCAGGCCGAUCGCCUCCGCCCUCCGCAUCCUCCUCCGGCGGAAGAAAGGCCAGCUACGGAUUCUUGGAGGGAUCGCUUCGGUGCAGGACGGAGCCCUCUUCGGUGGAAGAAGAUAAGCACCAGCUAAGGAUGCAGAAUUCGUGGUUGCUACUGUGGCGGUUCACCAACGUCCGGGGCGUGGCGGACGCACAGGUGACCCUGAAACUGUGGGAUACAUCGAUUGUUGGACUCAAUCAUCAUCACAUUUGAAGAAACCAAAAUUCAAUUUGCUUCCUGCUGAUAUAAAUUGACUUCAAAGAUGACAUACACAAACAAAAUAUGUAGACAAUCAUGCUAGAAUUAAUCAAUAAACUUAGGUCAUUUGGUUUAGACCUAUUUCUCUUAACAAUUAGGGCAUAUAGUACAUGGAAUUGUAAUUUGAUCUAUGAUGGCAGAUGCAUCAUCCUGAUUGUUUUAGGAACUUUCUAAAUGAUUAUAAGGAUUAGCUACUUUAUCCGGAGAUAAAUGAAACCAAUAACUAGUUGUAACAAUUUGCUCUCUUCAUUUGUAAGGAAGAAGAAAAAAGAGCAAUCUGUUGUUCUAUUUUCAGAAAAAACUAUGAACUAAGGAAUCUGGUUGCAAUGAAGCGAAUCCUGAUUCGUUUGGAUGCUUGGCUCCCAGGUUCAACUGCUAUGUCAAUGGGAACCACAUGCCAAGAGACACUUUGAAGCCGUGGCCACAUUAGGGAGGUUUCUGGGAGUUGUCUAUCUCUUGCUUCCCUUGGUUGAAGGAGCCAGGGUUCACAUCCGCUCUAAUCUAAUUGACAGCACAUUUUUUCCCAUGAAAUCUCACUUAAAAACAAUUACCUGGUUGAAUUGAGAGGACCAGAACUGUCAGGAUUUAUUUCUAAAAGCUAAUCUCUUACCUCUGUGUAUUGCAUUUUUGCUCAAAUUUCAGAUGCUUGUAAGUUUUAGGUGGAUAGAUAGAAAUGCUCAUGGAUUGUUACCACAACGUUCUUAGUUUUCAGAGAAACUGAGUUUCCAUUAUAUUCCUUCUGUAGUGGUUCCACUAAUUGUUCUUGAUUAACAUUCCACCGGGAAAAAUCUAUGCCAUAAAUGUAUUGCAAGCGUUCCAUGGUCAAACUUACUCUGUUCUAUUCUUCCAGCUGUUUAACUAAAUUCUGUUUGUGUACCUAACUUGCUACAAUUCAUGGAUAUAUGUGAGUUGCAUUGAACAUCUUGAAAGGCAUUGCGGAUAUAGAUGGAAGCUCUGCUCCAUGGUAUGAUUUUUUCAUUUAGAUUUACUGUUGAUGUGGGAAAUAGUCAUUUGAUUAAAUGUCAGCUCGUGCUGUAAAUUAUCAAGUCUUGCAACCCUUCAUUGCAACCUAGUAAAUUAUGCUGGCUAUGGCUACCCUCAAGUAAGCAUGCAAGUAUUUGGCAUUAUACACCUCAAAAGAUCAGCUAUUGGUACCAAUUGCACUAAGGGCCUAUCGAUAUUGUCUUGUAUUUUUCAUGACAGUAAGUGAGAAAAACACUCUUUUUUUUUUUGGCAUUUUGAAAAUAGUAACAAGUUUGGCAUGGGAAACUUGCAAGUAAAUGAUUCUGUAACCAGUCCUACUAUUGUUGUUGUUUCUUAAGAUGCUAACUGGGGCCUGAUCAAUGUUUCUCUUGCACCAUGUUAAAUACAUAGCUGGCUCAUGACCUGCAUGCCUUUCCUCAAAUACUUGUCAUCCAUUAGAUUUCAUGUUUUGCUUUGUCAUCAAGGUUUUUUUUAAUAUUCAGAAUUGAUGUUAUUAUUGGCUUUUAUUUUCUCUAUUUUUGUUACUUCAUUAAACAGCAGAGAACAUACUCAAUGAGUUGUUGAAGACAACACUUUUGGAAAUAGAAGGGAUUAAGUAAUUGAUGCAAAUAUUUGAAAGAAUCCCAAUAUAACAGGCUAGUUGGCAUAUAUAUAAUGGUUGUAAGUAGUGUUGUAUUAAUGUUGUCAUCUUGAUUGCUUAGGUAUUGUUGUUACCCUUUGUGAGGUUAUUGUUGCUUGUGGUGCUAAUUCGUUAUCAUGUUCAAGAUAAAAGCAAAUAAUGAGAGAGAGCUCAUUCCAUAAGCAUGAAAUCUGAUCUCCAAAGCCAUGGCAUUAACAAAACGAAGCAGCCUGUGUAUGAAUUGUGAGCCCCAGCGACAGUGUUCUGUGUCCAGACAACCGAGCUGCACGGCUGCACUUGUCACAGUACUGGGAGCAAAUAUGUCACCCUAAUUACUGGGAAGAAACAAGCAAAUUGUCUACUUUUCUUCUAGUAUUUGAAGAACUCCUUUUGUAGAUGAGCUACUAACAGAUCUAUUUUUUGGCAGAUGAACGAAGCAAGCGUUAAGAGGACGACUGAUUCAAACUAUGACAGAGGAUUGCCGUGAGUCUUCCGCCAUGAGUUGGCAUAAAAACGAAUGCACUCAGACCAUUACAAGUAGUUGCACAUUGCUCUCAUGAAAUCACAUAUUAGACCAGGUGGUGGGAUUAUAGUGCGAGCAUCGAGAUCAUAUUAAAGGUCUCCUCGCUGGUCCGCGGCGCCCCCCCGAGGCGUGCGGCAUCGCCGCCGGCGACGGCUCUCUCAUGGAGCAACCGGAGGGCCCGCUCCCACCUCCCGCGUCCCCCCUGCGACGCGGCGGCCUCGUUGCGGCAGAUGCGGGCGAGGCGGAAGACGAAGAGGCGGAGGCCGAGGAUAAGGUCGGCGGCGCCGGAGGAAGGGAGGCAGGUGGCGGCGAAGGGGAGCUUGAGGGCGAAGGGGCAGAGGAGGGAGAGGAGGAGCUUCCAGUGGCCGUGGCCGCCCCCUGCGAGUAACUGCAGCUUGCCUAGUACUACCAUGUGGAAAACCAUCGCUGCACUCUGCAGCAGCAGUGCCCGUCGCGCUCUCUGCGUGCUGCCUUGGUUGGCCACGCUACCGAAGGACGCAGCGGAUGCUUGCGUCUCGAUGUGGGACUACCAUGAUGCCGCCUGCUACUGCUAGUGGCGAACGCAUAAGAUGCCCUUUUUCCAACAUUGCCGCACCAUCACCCGGUUCAACAUCCCGGUCCAUGCGGGAUGCUUUAAUCAUUCUAUGAAGCAUGGGUCCGGUUCAAACUCUCUGCUGUCCCUUGCGGUGGACGAGUGCUUCCGGCCACGUCAUCUUUUCCACCAUUCGCCGUUCUACACGUCAUUGACCGAGGCGGGCCCAGCCGUUUGGCUUUCUGCAAGCUGACAUCUGGUCCGCGACAUUGUCCGACGCGCGGAAACGCUCAUAUACGUCCAAAACAAGAUAUGAAGGUGACGCGGUCAUCUCUACUUAGGAAGUCCAAUGAUCGUGUAGAACAACUCCUCGUCCCAUCCAGAAUGUGACAUCUCUCCUUGACUCGAAGUGAGUUAUACUCCCUCGUUGCUCUAUGCUCUUAGGGCAUGACGCUCGUGGAAUCCUUGGUACAUCUGUCUCGUUCCUUUCUUACUUGGUUUUGAUGUGGAGAGAUCUACUAGCAAUCAAUGCAAGAUCAACACCAUUAAAUGA